RNAcentral lists this long non-coding RNA (3486 nucleotides) under Salmo salar (Atlantic salmon). Its description in RNAcentral is "lncRNA (ENSSSAG00000101364.1)". The record is from RNAcentral. Lineage: Eukaryota; Metazoa; Chordata; Actinopteri; Salmoniformes; Salmonidae.
AAAUUAGAAUCCAAGGAAGUUGACAUGUCAUCACUUCAUUUUUUUGCGCCUGCGCAUAAAUCUGAGAAACGUGAGUUUUGUCUUCAUUGUUUAUCUCGACAUAGGAUAGGUUGUGUGAAAAUAUUACUGAUGUUUAACGUUAAAAAUGGACCAAAAGAUUAAUGCUAAACAACAUUUGACAUGUUUGAACGAACAUAAAUAGAUUAUUUACUCGUUUUUUUUUAGCUUUUCGGCGUGAUUUUACAGUCCCCCACCACGUUUUGUGGGAGCAUAAUGAACGCUAAGUACUUGGUGUUAUUUGGACAUAAAUUAUGAACUUUGUCAAAAGAAACCACAUUUGUUCCGGACCUGGGAUGCCUUCCGGACCUGGGAUGCCUGUCUUCUGAUGGAGAUAAUCAAAGGCGCUACAGUUAUGUAUGCCAUUCCACUCUUCUGGGAAGGCUUUCCACUAGAUGAUGGAACAUUGAUGCUGGGACCUGCUUCCAUUCAGCCACAAGAGCAUUAGUGAGGACCUGAGCCCUAGGACCAUGCCUCAGGACUACCUGGUAUGAUGACUUCUUGCUGUCCCCAGUCCACCUGGCCGUGCUGCUGCUCCAGUUUCAACUGUUCUGCCUGCGGCUAUGGAACCCUGACCUGUUCACCGGACGUGCUUGUUGCACCCUCGACAACUACUAUGAUUAUUAUUAUUUGACCAUGCUGGUCAUUUAUGAACAUUUUAACAUUUUAACAUCUUGACCAUGUUCUGUUAUAAUAUCCACCCUGCACAGCCAGAAGAGGACUGGCCACCCCUCAUAGCCUGGUUCCGCUCUAGGUUUCUUCCUAGGUUUUUGGCCUUUCUAGGGAGUUUUUCCUAGGGAGUUUUUCCUAGCCACCGUGCUUCUUUCACAUGCUUUGCUUGCUGUUUGGGGUUUUAGGCUGGGUUUCUGUACAGCACUUUGAGAAUAUCAGCUGAUGUACGAAGGGCUAUAUAAAAAUAAAUUUGAUUUGGAGUUUUUCUUUGCACUUGCAAUAUAGUCUUGCAAAACUCUGCAUGCAGUACUUCGAUUGGCUGUUUGUCUCAUUUGGUAAAUUCAUUAUUAGAGAAUGGACCCCAUACUUCGCUGCCAUAUAGACCAAUUGGUUCUAUAACUGAUCUGAAAAUUUAGCCAGAUUUUAAUUGGAAUUUUAAUUUUAAUGUUCCUUUUAAUGGCAUAGAAUGCUCUUCUUGCUUUGUCUCUCAGAUCGUACACAGCCAUGUGAAAGCUACCUGUGUUGCUGCUAUUUAGUCCUAGAUACGUGUGUAGUUUUUAGCAUGUUCUGAUAGAACUGUGUCCAAAUAUAAUUUAUAUUAGUGAUCCUGAUUUCCCGACCUCUUUUGGAAUAUCAUUACAUUCGUUAUUUUUUAGGUUAACGGUCAGACCCCAGGUCCGACAGAACCUGUGCAGAUGAUCUAGAUGCUGCUUUAAUCCCUCCUUAGUGGGAAACGGCAGCACCAGGUCAUCUGCGUACAGCAGACACUUGAUUUCAGUGUUGUCGGUUGAGACCAGGUGCUGCAGAUUCUUCAAAUGUUUUUGCCAAUUCAUUCAUGUAGAUGUUAAAUAGUGUUGGACUUAUUGAGCAGCCCUGUUUCACUCCACGUCUCAGAGAUGUUUGCUAGUUGCCCAUUUUAACUGCACAUUUGUUUAUAGUGUACAUUGAUUUAAUUACAUACGUUUUCCCUCCAAUACUACUUUCUAUUAGUUUAUUUUAAAAAAGACCUUUGUGCCAAAUUGAAUCAAAUGCUUUCUUGAAGUCUACAAAACAUGAGUAGAUUUUGCCUUUGUUUUGGUUUAGUGUGUUUGUCAAUUAUAGUGUGUUGGGUAUAUAUGUGGUCUGUUGUCCGGUAAUUUGUUACAAAUCCAAUUUGGCUUCUGCUCAGGACGUUGUGUUCAUCAAGGAAAUGACAUAGUCUGCUAUUUAUGAUAUUGCAGAGAAUUUUCCCCAAGUUGCUGUUAAUGCAACUUCCUCUUUAAUUAUUUCGGUCAAAUUUGUCUCGAUUUUUAUAGAUUGGUGUGAUCAAUCCUUGGGUCCAAAUAUCGGGGAAAAUACCUGCAGUGCAGGAUAAUGUUGAAAAGUUUGAGUGUAGCCAAUUUGAAUUUGUGGUCUGUAAAUUUAAUAAUUUCAUUUGAAAUACCAUCAGCACCACAGGCCUUUUUGGGUUGUAGAGUGUAUUGUUUUUCUAAUAAUUCUUAUUCUGAUUCAAGGAUUUGUAAUUUUUCUUGUAUAUCUUGUUGUUCUGGGCUCUUUGUUAUAUUGCUGUAGAGGUUUGCAAAGUGAUUUCUCCACAUAUCACCAUUAUGGAUAGCCAAUUCCUCAUGUGGUUCGUUUAAUUUAUUCCAAUUCUCCCAGAAGUGGUUUGACUCUAUGGAUUCCUCAAUUACAUCCAGCUAAUUUCUAAUGUGCUGUUUCUUUUUUGUUCUUAGGGUGUGAUUGUAUUGCUUCAGUGUUUCCCCAUAUUGAAAGAGUGUAUUUUUGUCUGGUUCUCUGUUUUUGAUUAGAUACAUUUCUCAAUGACUUCCUUAGAUUGUUGUUAUCAUUAUCAGACCAUUUUUCAUGAUCUAUUAUUUUUGGUUUGCUCUUAUGUUUUUUAGAUUAGCCAAGGAGGCUAAUUUGUCAAAUAUAAAGUUUCUGUUCCAAACGUCCAAAUUUACAUCUUCAUUGCUGUAGGAGAAUGUUAAGGCUAAAAAGUUAUCCAGGAGAGAUUGUAUUUGUUGGCUACUAAUUGCUUUUUGGUAGAUUUCUGUAAUGUUUACACUCCGUCUGUAAGCCUGUUUAGUAGCAUGUAAUUUAUUGGGCCGUGAUGCUUCAUGGUUAGGUUCCGCUCUCCUCAGAUAAACUGUGAUUUUACUGUGGUCUGAGAGAGGUGUUAGUGGGCUGAAUGUGAAGGCUCUGAGAGACUCUGGGUUGAGGUCGGUGAGUCUGCCUGUCGCUCUCACUCUCGCUCUCUUUUGGUCUGCCUAGCUCUCUCUCUUCAUCUCUUUCGAUCUGCCCAUCUCAUGCUCUCUCUCUCUUUGUCUGCCUAUAUAUAUAUAUCUCUUCAGUCUGCCACUCAAUCUCUUUCGGUCUGCCCAUCUCUCUCUCUCACUCUUUCAGUCUGCAUAUCUCUCGCUCUCUCAAAUGGCUUUAUUGGCAUGGGAAACGUGUUUACAUUGCCAAAGCAAGUGAAAUAGAUUAUGAACAAAAGUGAAAAACAAUAAAAAAUGUACAGUUAACAUUACACUCACAGAAGUUCCAAAGAAAUAGAGACAUAUCAAAUGUCAUUAUGGCUAUAUAUAUAGCGUAACGAUGUACAAAGGGAAAAUAAAUAUGGGUUGUAUUUACAAUGGUGUGUGUACUUCACUGGUUGCCCUUUUCUUGUGGCAACAGGUCACAAAUCUUGUUGCUGUAAUGACACUGGUCAUUCACCCAAUAGAUAUAGGAGUUUAUCAAAAUUGGAUUGGUUUUCAAAUUCUUUGUGGAUCUGUGUAA